RNAcentral lists this transfer RNA (69 nucleotides) under Cynoglossus itinus. RNAcentral describes it as "tRNA-Ile". The record is from RNAcentral. Lineage: Eukaryota; Metazoa; Chordata; Actinopteri; Pleuronectiformes; Cynoglossidae.
GGAAUUGUGUCUGACUAAAGAGCCACUUUGAUAGAGUGAAACAUGAGGGUGAAAGCCCCUCCAACUCCU